Molecule: ribosomal RNA, 496 nt
Filed under: uncultured bacterium
Lineage: Bacteria
Description: partial 16S ribosomal RNA
Rfam family: Bacterial small subunit ribosomal RNA
Source: RNAcentral
AUGAACGCUGGCGGCGUGCCUAAUACAUGCAAGUCGAGCGAACGGACGAGAAGCUUGCUUCUCUGAUGUUAGCGGCGGACGGGUGAGUAACACGUGGAUAACCUACCUAUAAGAUUGGGAUAACUUCGGGAAACCGGAGCUAAUACAGGAUGAUAUCUUGAUCCGCAUGGUUCAAAAGUGAAAGACGGCCUUGCUGUCAUUUAUAGAUGGAUCCGCGCUGCAUUAGCUAGUUGGUAAGGUAACGGCUUACCAAGGCAACGAUGCAUAGCCGACCUGAGAGGAUGAUCGGCCACACUGGAACUGAGACACGGUCCAGACUCCUACGGGAGGCAGCAGUAGGGAAUCUUCCGCAAUGGGCGAAAGCCUGACGGAGCAACGCCGCGUGAGUGAUGAAGGUCUUCGGGUCGUAAAGCUCUGUUAUUGGGGAAGAACAGAUGUGGAAGUAACUGUGCACAUCUUGACGGUACCUAAUCAGAAAGCCACGGCUAACUACGUG